This 152-nucleotide ribosomal RNA is filed under the name uncultured bacterium. RNAcentral describes it as "partial 16S ribosomal RNA". The record is from RNAcentral.
UGAAUUGCCAAUGGGGGAAAGCCNGANUCUCAACUGCCCUAANCCGAAAAGAAGGNCUUCUUUCCCGUAAAGCUCUGAAUUCAGGGACGAUAAUGACGGUACCUGAGGAGGAAGCCACGGCUAACUACGUGCCAGCAGCCGCGGUAAUAAAA